RNAcentral lists this ribosomal RNA (253 nucleotides) under uncultured bacterium. RNAcentral's name for it is "partial 16S ribosomal RNA". It matches the Rfam family "Bacterial small subunit ribosomal RNA", at positions 524 to 775 of the family's 1533-position model. The record is from RNAcentral.
UACGUAGGGUGCGAGCGUUGUCCGGAAUUAUUGGGCGUAAAGAGCUUGUAGGCGGUUUGUCGCGUCUGCCGUGAAAAGCCCAGGGCUUUAACCCUGGGUCUGCGGUGGGUACGGGCAGACUAGAGUGUGGUAGGGGGAGACUGGAAUUCCUGGUGUAGCGGUGGAAUGCGCAGAUAUCAGGAGGAACACCAAUGGCGAAGGCAGACUCUGGGCCUAACUGACGCUGAGGAGCGAAAGCAUGGGGAGCAACAGG